Amphibalanus amphitrite is the source of this 432-nucleotide long non-coding RNA. RefSeq lists it as uncharacterized. The transcript has 4 exons. The record is from RefSeq and is a predicted model, not a curated record. Lineage: Eukaryota; Metazoa; Arthropoda; Thecostraca; Balanomorpha; Balanidae.
AGAAGCACUUCUAGUUUUUCGUUCCUUGGUUUUCUUCAGUGUUUUGUUUUUCUCAAGUUUCCGAUGCUUAUUGCAAAUCCUGUGACGCAGAUGCAAGCUGAGCUGAUCUAAGUCAAGUUUCAGAAUUGUCCUGGAACCUCACUAUCUCAAUUCUUCUUUUAAGUCCUUGAGCCUUCGGGAUCAAGGUCAGGAGGGGACGAUGCCUCGGGGCAGGAAGCGGCCGGAGGAGGCGCAGGAGGCGCUGAUGCGGCCGGUCACCAAGAGGCACCGCUCCAACCCCUACCACCAGUGGAGCAGCCACCACGCCAGCCACCACAGCAGCCACCACAGCAGUCAUCACAGCGGUCACCACGCCCGCCGGCCGGCGGCCUUCUCGGAGAAACUGUGCCUGCAGUGGUUCAGAGAGUAUACCACCGCCGACGAGCCCGACCU